RNAcentral lists this ribosomal RNA (929 nucleotides) under Salmonella enterica subsp. enterica. RNAcentral's name for it is "partial 23S ribosomal RNA". It matches the Rfam family "Bacterial large subunit ribosomal RNA", at positions 711 to 1637 of the family's 2925-position model. The record is from RNAcentral. Lineage: Bacteria; Pseudomonadati; Pseudomonadota; Gammaproteobacteria; Enterobacterales; Enterobacteriaceae.
AGACCCGAAACCCGGUGAUCUAGCCAUGGGCAGGUUGAAGGUUGGGUAACACUAACUGGAGGACCGAACCGACUAAUGUUGAAAAAUUAGCGGAUGACCUGUGGCUGGGGGUGAAAGGCCAAUCAAACCGGGAGAUAGCUGGUUCUCCCCGAAAGCUAUUUAGGUAGCGCCUCGUGAAUUCAUCUCCGGGGGUAGAGCACUGUUUCGGCUAGGGGGCCAUCCCGGCUUACCAACCCGAUGCAAACUGCGAAUACCGGAGAAUGUUAUCACGGGAGACACACGGCGGGUGCUAACGUCCGUCGUGAAGAGGGAAACAACCCAGACCGCCAGCUAAGGUCCCAAAGUCAUGGUUAAGUGGGAAACGAUGUGGGAAGGCCCAGACAGCCAGGAUGUUGGCUUAGAAGCAGCCAUCAUUUAAAGAAAGCGUAAUAGCUCACUGGUCGAGUCGGCCUGCGCGGAAGAUGUAACGGGGCUAAACCAUGCACCGAAGCUGCGGCAGCGACGCUGAUGCGUUGUUGGGUAGGGGAGCGUUCUGUAAGCCUGUGAAGGUGGCCUGUGAGGGUUGCUGGAGGUAUCAGAAGUGCGAAUGCUGACAUAAGUAACGAUAAAGCGGGUGAAAAGCCCGCUCGCCGGAAGACCAAGGGUUCCUGUCCAACGUUAAUCGGGGCAGGGUGAGUCGACCCCUAAGGCGAGGCCGAAAGGCGUAGUCGAUGGGAAACGGGUUAAUAUUCCCGUACUUGGUGUUACUGCGAAGGGGGGACGGAGAAGGCUAUGUUGGCCGGGCGACGGUUGUCCCGGUUUAAGCGUGUAGGUGUGUGUUCCAGGUAAAUCCGGUUCACUUUAACACUGAGGCGUGAUGACGAGGCACUACGGUGCUGAAGCAACAAAUGCCCUGCUUCCAGGAAAAGCCUCUAAGCAUCAGGUAACAU